ACGCAAUAGAUACCCAGGUAGUCCACGCCCUAAACGAUGUCGACUGGUUGUUGGGGGUUUGACACUCUCAGUAAACGAAAGCUAAACGCGUGAAGUCGACCGCCUGGGGAGUACGGCCGCAAGGUUAAAACUCAAAGGAAUUGACGGGGACCCGCACAAGCGGUGGAUUAUGUGGAUUAAUUCGAUGCAACGCGAAAAACCUUACCUACCCUUGACAUGUCCUGAAUCCCGGUGAGAGCUGGGAGUGCCCGAAAGGGAACGGGAACACAGGUGCUGCAUGGCUGUCGUCAGCUCGUGUCGUGAGAUGUUGGGUUAAGUCCCGCAACGAGCGCAACCCUUGUCAUUAGUUGCUACAUUCAGUUGGGCACUCUAAUGAGACUGCUGGUGACAAACCGGAGGAAGGUGGGGAUGACGUCAAGUCCUCAUGGCCCUUAUGGGUAGGGCUUCACACGUAAUACAAUGGCGCGUACAGAGGGUUGCCAAGCCGCGAGGUGGAGCCAAUCCCACAAAGCGCGUCGUAGUCCGGAUUGGAGUCUGCAACUCGAC
This 546-nucleotide ribosomal RNA is filed under the name uncultured bacterium. RNAcentral's name for it is "bacterial SSU rRNA". It matches the Rfam family "Bacterial small subunit ribosomal RNA", at positions 772 to 1316 of the family's 1533-position model. The record is from RNAcentral.